AGCUAAGGUAGUUUGGACAUUCUGUAACCUGAUCUCUCCUCAGACACCAACUAGCUCUCGAAGACUCACGUCAGGUUUAGAUGUUCAGCCACGUUUUCUCAAACAAUGCACUUAUUUACAGCAGGUAGUGAAUGUGGCUAGUUACAGGGGACAGGUGGUGCCCACAGUCCCUACAGCCCUACAGGGGACAGGUGGUGUCCACAGUCCCUACGGCCCUAUAGGGGACAGGUGGUGCCCACAGUCCCUACGGCCCUACAGGGGACAGGUGGUGCCCACAGUCCCUACGACCCUGGGGACAGGUGGUGCCCACAGUCCCUACGGCCCUACAGGGGACAGGUGGUGUCCACAGUCCCUACAGCCCUAUAGGGGACAGGUGGUGCCCACUUUCCCUACGGCCCUACAGGGGACAGGUGGUGUCCACAGUCCCUACAGCCCUACAGGGGACAGGUGGUGCCCACAGUCCCUACGGCCCUACAGGGGACAGGUGGUGCCCACAGUCCCUACGGCCCUACAGGGGACAGGUAGUGCCCACUUUCCCUACGGCCCUAUAGGGGACAGGUGGUGCCCACAGUCCCUCCGGCCAUGGGGACAGGUGGUGCCCACAGUCCCUACGGCCCUACAGGGGACAGGUGGUGCCCACAGUCCCUACGGCCCUACAGGGGACAGGUGGUGCCCACAGUCCCUAUGGCCCUGGGGACAGGUGGUGCCCACAGUCCCUACGGCCCUGGGGACAGGUAGUGCCCACAGUCCCUCCGGCCCUACAGGGGACAGGUGGUGCCCACAGUCCCUCCGGCCCUACAGGGGACAGGUGGUGCCCACAGUCCCUCCGGCCCUACAGGGGACAGGUAAUGCCCACAGUCCCUCCGGCCCUAUAGGGGACAGGUAGUGCCCACAGUCCCUCCGGCCCUAUAGGGGACAGGUAAUGCCC
Long non-coding RNA from Oncorhynchus tshawytscha (Chinook salmon), 928 nucleotides. The record is from Ensembl. Lineage: Eukaryota; Metazoa; Chordata; Actinopteri; Salmoniformes; Salmonidae.